GCCGCGAUCCCCCCCCCUCCGUUUGCCCGGCCUCCCGCUUGCUUGCCCGGCUGCCGGCUGAGUCGGGGCGGCGGUGCGAUGGGGCGCAUCGAGUGGGCCAUGUGGGCGAACGAGCAGGCGCUGGCCGCCGGGCUGAUUUUAGUGACCGGUGGCAUCGUGGCGGUUGCAGGCCAAUU
Thamnophis elegans (Western terrestrial garter snake) is the source of this 176-nucleotide long non-coding RNA. RefSeq lists it as uncharacterized. Lineage: Eukaryota; Metazoa; Chordata; Lepidosauria; Squamata; Natricidae. The transcript has 2 exons. The record is from RefSeq and is a predicted model, not a curated record.